ACGGCGAUGACGAUCGGAUCAUCGACGACGACUACAAAGAAGAAGAAGAAGAAGGAGAAAAGAAGGAGGAAAAGAAGGAUAUGGAGAAGAAGAGGAAGAAGAAGAAGUAGGAGAGGAAGAGGAAAAGGAAGAGGAAGAGGAAGAAGAGGAAGAGGAAGAGGAAGAAGAAGAAGGGCAAAAUUGUCAAUUCACAUUAUUAAUUAACCAUGGUUAAGUAUUUUAACUGUGGUUAACGAAAUUUCUCUAACGAACCCUAACGGCAGGGACAUAUCUGAAUACAUUAGGACUUUUGCAGGGAUAACUUAUGUAAGUUGAGCUUUGCAGGAAUAUAUCUGCAAUUCACCAUAUUUGCAAGGUUGUGUAUGCAAUUAA
This 372-nucleotide long non-coding RNA is filed under the name Ananas comosus (pineapple). Its description in RNAcentral is "long non-coding RNA (ACOM_LNC003224)". The record is from RNAcentral. Lineage: Eukaryota; Viridiplantae; Streptophyta; Magnoliopsida; Poales; Bromeliaceae.